Molecule: RNA transcript, 5391 nt
Organism: Sus scrofa (pig)
Lineage: Eukaryota; Metazoa; Chordata; Mammalia; Artiodactyla; Suidae
Gene: BCL2L11
Gene name: BCL2 like 11
Source: RefSeq, marked provisional
GCGCAAGGGGAGGAGCGGGAGGAGGCGGAGGAUGUUCCCGGCGGCAGCGGCGGCCGGGGCAGCGCGGGCAAGAGGCGCGGCGCGUGGAGCCCUCGGCUGCCCGGUGGAGCGCGGUGGCGGGAGAGCGGCGAGUUGCAAGCUUUGCGCGGUCCCGGCGUCUCCCAGCGCGAGUCCUGGGCUUUGUCUCCCGCGCUGCCUUCGUGGUGACGGUCGGGGGGUUCCGAACCGGCGUAGGGCGCGGACCGCGCGCCGAGGAGCCCGGGCCCGGACACGACGCUCCGAAGGGAAGGGGCGGACAAAAAAAGACCAAAUGGCAAAGCAACCUUCCGAUGUAAGUUCUGAGUGUGACAGAGAAGGUGGACAGUUGCAGCCUGCGGAAAGGCCUCCUCAGCUCAGGCCUGGGGCCCCCACCUCUCUACAAACAGAGCGGCAAGGUAAUCCGGAAGGAGAAGGGGACCGCUGCCCCCAAGGCAGCCCCCAGGGCCCACUGGCCCCACCGACCAGCCCUGGCCCCUUUGCUACCAGAUCCCCGCUUUUCAUCUUCGUGAGAAGAUCCUCCCUGCUGUCUCGAUCCUCCAGUGGGUAUUUCUCUUUUGACACAGACAGGAGCCCAGCACCCAUGAGUUGUGACAAAUCAACACAAACCCCAAGUCCUCCUUGCCAAGCCUUCAACCAUUAUCUCAGUGCGAUGGCUUCCAUGAGGCAGUCUCAGGCUGAACCCGCAGAUAUGCGCCCGGAGAUAUGGAUUGCGCAGGAGUUACGGCGUAUUGGAGACGAAUUUAAUGCAUAUUACCCAAGGAGGUUAGAACAAUAGAGGAAGUUGUCGUGUAGUUGUCAUGUGUUCAGUGCGCUUGCGGGCGGUGGGGAAGCGUGUGAGACGGAGCCAUGGAGGCUGAAUCCUUGAAGCAGGAGGUGACAGAGGCCCAGGUCUUUCUGAAUAAUUACCAAGCAGCCGAAGCCCACCCUCAGAUGGUUAUCUUACGACUGUUACGCUACAUCGCCCGUCUGGUGUGGAGGAUGCAGUGACGCUGGGUUCCUCGCGGAGCUGGGACGUGUGCAGACAUUUCGCUUGUUCAGACCAACGAGCCCAGCACUGUGGUGACGAGCCCAGCACCGUGGUGUCUCGGUGCCUCGAGGUGCAGCCCACGGUUCUUUGCCGGAGGGGCAGGCAGCCGGCUGGUGUGUCCCCGGAGGACACUGAGCUGCACGUGGACCUGACCUUGUCUAUUGAUCACCCCCAUGGCAGAAUUUCUAAUGGAGCUUCUGGUGAAUGUAAAUGAGGGAGGAUUUUUUCUUUUUGAAACUGUGUACAAAAUCAUGGUUCUCCAGAGCAGGAUUUGAUGCAAGAAUGAUGUUUUACAUGGGGUGUGGUUUUUUUUUUUUUUUUUUUUUUUUUUCCUUUCCCACCUUCUUUGAUAAGAACAGGUUUUUCAAAAAGGAAAUGGAAAGAAAGGAAAUGGAAAGUUUUUAACCAGCUCAAGUGAUUUUUGUACUAAAAUUUUAAGAACCUUUUGCCUCCUCUCAGAGGAUUAUGUAAAGACUCCAGUGGAAACUGAGCCAGCUAAUUCAUAAAGCUGCCUUAGUUUAUUUUUAGAGGUCACUGUAUAGCAUUUUUAAACGGGAGCAGUGUGGAGGGGCCCACCCUUCCCUGCCGUUGCCUUUGGGCCUUUUUUUUUUUUUUUAAAUCAUUAAUUAUCAAUACCAAAAAAUUCUUCUGAAAUGGAACUGAUGGAAGGGGCCAAAGGUCUCUGGUCAGCCUGUAUUGACCUGCCACUCCCGUUUUGUAAAUAUAUACUUACCUCCUUAAAUUUGCUUGCAUCUGCAGCAAAAUUUCUCUCUCCCUGUGUCUCUCCUCCUCUCUCUUGGUGAUGCUCCUUAAGCCUGUGGUGACACUGAUGCACACGUUUGGUCCAGGGUAUUUUCAUUGUAAGAAGUGAUUGGGUCAGAACACACGUUAGCAUCUGCCUGCAUCUGACACAGCCUGACUUGUGCUGCGUGGCUGGUAGCUUGCUCACUGGGUUGUGCUCUGUGUUGGUUUUCAUUUGGUUUUGACAGCCUUGUCAGUUAGAAUUGCUCUGAAGAGAUCAUCGCGGCCAUAACACAGAAUAUUUUGCCCCCUUUGCUGUUGGUGUUCCCAGAUGCAGGCUUUCCCCAAGUAGCAGGAUGGACUCAGCCCAAGGUCCCAGGUGGUGCACAUGCCCACCUGUGGCCCCAUCCAGCUGCAGGUGUCUGAGGUGGCAGUUGGCACAGGCUGUGGGCGGGGCUUCAGACAGCAGUUUCCUGAGCAUCCUGGCUUUUCGUCCACCUCUGUUCACCUGGCCUUUGAUGGCUAACCCUUGGUUGCCACCCUUCGAAAUAGAGACUCAAUUCUGCUCUCAGCCGUCCCAUAAAAAACCCCAUUGGGCACAAGUCUGAAAUGCUCCCUUGGCCUUCUGACAGCUGUCCAUGUCACUUGCUCCAUUUCCCUCAGGAGAGCUGGGUUUUGUCAGGCCCCUUGAGUCCAUCCCCUGCUUUUGGGGGUGCCCUCCCUCCAGCCUGCCGUAAGGAUGGCAGGGAACGGAAGCCCUUAAGUGGGUUGGUCUCUUCAAAGGCAGUUCGGCUACUGGGGAGACCUGAAAAAGACAGAGUGUGGGAAGAGCGGAAGUGAUCAUUCUGUGAACCCCAGAACUCCUACAGUUUUUGGAACCUCGUUAUCAAACAGCUUUUUAAAAGAAAGACAUGAUUUCCCAAAAUGAGUCAACAGUGCCAAUAACUAUCGUAUUUGCUUUUGGCCCAUCGAGGACCAAUGUUUCCACAUUAUGGGUUGGAAAAAUCCAUCCAUUUUUGUAUCUUCCUAAUUUUAUAUAAAUAUAUAUAUAUAUAUAUAUACAUACAUAUAUAUAUAUAGCAUAUAUACUUGUUCUUUAGGUAGCGAUAUUUGACUCCAAAUAUUCUUCCUUUUUAAAAAUUUUCAUUUCCCCAACUAUCUCCUUGGGGUCUCGAAUUGUUUUAAAUCCGUGUUGAGUCUCAGCUUGUGUCCUCGACAUGUCUUGAACCCCUCUGUAGGAUCCUCAAGUCUACGCGGUUGUGAGGUGGUUGGUAGGAUCACGGCCGUGGGUCUGCUGGACACACACACCAAAGACGUAUUUGGUUCUGGGCUGCACCCCUCCCAGGACCCCCGUACUUUCAUGCCAGUCUCUCUGACUGGAGCACUUUACUCUGUUCCUUUGGCCCCGGGGGCCGGGUGCUCCUGGCCCACGUGCAGGUUUACCUUGGGCUCGGUGGCCUCCAGGCCCCCGGGCUGGCCAUGGAAGCAGCCAGUGAAGAAAGAAGAGAUUCCAUGAAUUAUAGAAGUAUUAAGAGGAUGUUGCCCAGGACUAGGGGAGGUGACUGGAUGUCUCUGUACUGUACAUUUCUGUUUAUCAGGAUGCCUCCCUGGAGAAAGGAUGCCCACGGUGGGUGUACCUUUGACUUCCUAAGUUUGAAUCUUUCUUAGACUUUUUGUAGGAAAAAAAAAAAACAAAAAAAAACAAAAAAAGCCUCCAUCCCUUUUUGGAAACUUAAUGCGGGUUUUGUGCCUUGACCACCUCGUCUCUUGUGAGGUUUGUAGAAAGUGUCCUGUGACUUUUCACAGAAAUGCAAUAAACACACAGAAAAUUAACUUCCUGAGUGAAUUUUCAAAUGACCUGGGCUCCUGCCUAGAAAUGAAUUUUUGAAGGGUUUUUUUUGGGGGGGGGGGUUGUGGAGAACCAGGUAAAAAGAUUCCUUCUGAUUGGAAAGAAACUGUACACAGUGGACUACCACUUUCUCCUGUUUCCCCUUCUUAAUAUUGUAUAUAUUUUGACUAUUUAUUAGAUUAGGAAGUCAUAUUUUACUUAUCAACUGAGCCAAACGUCUGUGUGCAAUUAUUGUUUCCUUUACCUUUCUUGUAAAUUUUUGUACAGCAUAAAGGAGUAAAAAAAAAAAAAAAAAAAAAAAAAAAUCACUUUUUUACUAAACUUUUUCAGAAUUGAGGAUUGUAAAUAUUGUAGAUUCUUUUUCUGUGUAACGCGUCCUACUGUUCCAUAAUGCUGUAACUUGUAGAAAUGUUGUAUAUUUAUUUCUGGCUUAUUUAAUGUCUUACGUUCUAAAAGGUGUUGCUCCCCAUGACCCCUCACCCCUGCUGUCCCAGGAAUGCUUUAACUCUGAGGUGGUGACUGGUCAGCUCACGGCAGGCUCCGUGGUCUCCCCAACGUGGCCCUUCAGCUCUGAUUCCGGGUGUUUCCACUCAAAUGGGUUUCACUUCGUCAGGUUUGCCAUCCCCUCGGUGAGGUGUGUGUGUUUAGACACCUCCCCAGAGACCCUAAAUCCAUCAGGCUCAAAAAUCCACUCUGGAACUCUCCAGCGACUUUCUUUCGUCCCCAGACGAAAGCAAACGCUGCGACGUCCAGGCCACAUCUUAAAAUAACCACCAAAGUGGUAUUGUUGGCCACAGGGAGAGCUUUUUCCAUUGGACAUUUACCCCUGACCACACAGUGUUGAGAGAUAUGAGAAGAUCCUCUCCCAGAGAUGCUGCCGUGAGUUUGCGGAGGGCCAGGGCAGGCUGGGAUGAAGGCCCAGGGGGGACCCAAGGACCCUGCUUCCUGAGUGACUUUAGGACCACCUUGUACCGCUAACCCCUUGUGGGUGAGUCCUUGAGUUUCUCCUGCCCCCUUUGGCUUCCUGUGCUUUGAGAUGCAGACUAAACUGUGUGUCUUUAGGAAUUAAUUGUACACCCCACACCCCCAGCCCUGAACCACUCCGUCCCUCUGCGUUUGAUCCCACCUGCUUCUUCAGGGUGGCGCCUUCCUCUUGCUUUUCCAAAGCCUUUGGGGCGGUGGGACGGGGGCCCGCUGGUCUGGGUGUUAAGAUGUGAAAGCCUUCCUAGCAGUUUUGUGUCCAUAGGUCUGUCCUCCCGGCUGAUUUAGCCUCUUGCCUGUGGGUGGAUGUGUCCACCUGAGUGUGUCGCUAAACCAGCUGGGGUAACUCCUGUCCUGCUCUGAAUGGCGUGGUGUGCAAAAAGCAGCCUCAAACUGCGAGCUCAGUAACUUUGACUACUUUUGUAUGGGAAUUUCAGACUUUCAAUACUCUCAAGUUUUUUUGUCCAGGUUCUGUGACCACUAGUUACUGUAUCAGAACUCGUCAGGUACUCGUUUAUAAAUAGCACUGAUCUGUCUGUAUACUGAUUCAUCACUAACUUGUUUCCUAGGACCCAGCAUAUGUAGCAUUUGUAUUGCAAUUUCCCUGGCUUACUUGUGUUUUGCACUGAUGAAUUUUGACAGGGUAAUUGCCACUUUACUUGUGCAAUACUGCUGUAAAUAACUGCAAAUUUUUUUUUUAAGAAACUCGAUCUUUUAUGUUCUUAAUUUUAUAUAAAUAAAACUUUCAACUAGU